AAUACGAAGGGACCUAGCGUAGUUCGGAAUUACUGGGCUUAAAGAGUUCGUAGGUGGUUGAAAAAGUUGGUGGUGAAAUCCCAGAGCUUAACUCUGGAACUGCCAUCAAAACUUUUCAGCUAGAGUUUGAUAGAGGAAAGCAGAAUUUCUAGUGUAGAGGUGAAAUUCGUAGAUAUUAGAAAGAAUACCAAUUGCGAAGGCAGCUUUCUGGAUCAUUACUGACACUGAGGAACGAAAGCAUGGGUAGCGAAGAGGAUUAGAUACCCUCGUAGUCCAUGCCGUAAACGAUGUGUGUUAGACGUUGGAAAUUUAUUUUCAGUGUCGCAGCGAAAGCGAUAAACACACCGCCUGGGGAGUACGACCGCAAGGUUAAAACUCAAAUGAAUUGACGGGGACCCGCACAAGUAGUGGAGCAUGUGGUUUAAUUCGAAGAUACGCGCAGAACCUUACCAACACUUGACAUGUUCGUCGCGACUUUAAGAGAUUAAAGUUUUCGGUUCGGCCGGACGAAACACAGGUGCUGCAUGGCUGUCGUCAGCUCGUGUCGUGAGAUGUUGGGUUAAGUCCCGCAACGAGCGCAACCCUCACUUUUAGUUGCCAUCAUUUAGUUGGGCACUCUGAAAGAACUGCCAGUGAUAAGCUGGAGGAAGGUGGGGAUGACGUCAAGUCCUCAUGGCCCUUACGUGUUGGGCUACACACGUGCUACAAUGGUAUCUACAACAGGAAGCAAAACAGCGAUGUUAAGCAAAUCCUUAAAAGAUACCUCAGUUCGGAUUGCACUCUGCAACUCGAGUGCAUGAAGCUGGAAUUACUAGUAAUCGUGGAUCAGCGUGCCACGGUGAAUGCGUUCCCGGGUCUUGUACACACCGCCCGUCACACCAUGGGAGUUGGUUCUACCUUAAGGCAAGGUUUAAUACCCUUGACCACGGUAUAGUCAGC
This 939-nucleotide ribosomal RNA is filed under the name uncultured bacterium. RNAcentral describes it as "bacterial SSU rRNA". It matches the Rfam family "Bacterial small subunit ribosomal RNA", at positions 522 to 1472 of the family's 1533-position model. The record is from RNAcentral.